RNAcentral lists this non-coding RNA (24 nucleotides) under Arabidopsis thaliana (thale cress). Lineage: Eukaryota; Viridiplantae; Streptophyta; Magnoliopsida; Brassicales; Brassicaceae. The record is from RNAcentral.
GUAGUCCGGUCGCCGCAUCAAGUC